AAGUCGAGCGGAACGAGUUAACUGAACCUUCGGGGGACGUUAACGGCGUCGAGCGGCGGACGGGUGAGUAAUGCCUAGGAAAUUGCCCUGAUGUGGGGGAUAACCAUUGGAAACGAUGGCUAAUACCGCAUGAUGCCUACGGGCCAAAGAGGGGGACCUUCGGGCCUCUCGCGUCAGGAUAUGCCUAGGUGGGAUUAGCUAGUUGGUGAGGUAAGGGCUCACCAAGGCGACGAUCCCUAGCUGGUCUGAGAGGAUGAUCAGCCACACUGGAACUGAGACACGGUCCAGACUCCUACGGGAGGCAGCAGUGGGGAAUAUUGCACAAUGGGCGCAAGCCUGAUGCAGCCAUGCCGCGUGUGUGAAGAAGGCCUUCGGGUUGUAAAGCACUUUCAGUCGUGAGGAAGGUAGUGURGUUAAUAGMUGCAUUAUUUGACGUUAGCGACAGAAGAAGCACCGGCUAACUCCGUGCCAGCAGCCGCGGUAAUACGGAGGGUGCGAGCGUUAAUCGGAAUUACUGGGCGUAAAGCGCAUGCAGGUGGUUUGUUAAGUCAGAUGUGAAAGCCCGGGGCUCAACCUCGGAAUAGCAUUUGAAACUGGCAGACUAGAGUACUGUAGAGGGGGGUAGAAUUUCAGGUGUAGCGGUGAAAUGCGUAGAGAUCUGAAGGAAUACCGGUGGCGAAGGCGGCCCCCUGGACAGAUACUGACACUCAGAUGCGAAAGCGUGGGGAGCAAACAGGAUUAGAUACCCUGGUAGUCCACGCCGUAAACGAUGUCUACUUGGAGGUUGUGGCCUUGAGCCGUGGCUUUCGGAGCUAACGCGUUAAGUAGACCGCCUGGGGAGUACGGUCGCAAGAUUAAAACUCAAAUGAAUUGACGGGGGCCCGCACAAGCGGUGGAGCAUGUGGUUUAAUUCGAUGCAACGCGAAGAACCUUACCUACUCUUGACAUCCAGAGAACUUUCCAGAGAUGGAUUGGUGCCUUCGGGAACUCUGAGACAGGUGCUGCAUGGCUGUCGUCAGCUCGUGUUGUGAAAUGUUGGGUUAAGUCCCGCAACGAGCGCAACCCUUAUCCUUGUUUGCCAGCGAGUAAUGUCGGGAACUCCAGGGAGACUGCCGGUGAUAAACCGGAGGAAGGUGGGGACGACGUCAAGUCAUCAUGGCCCUUACGAGUAGGGCUACACACGUGCUACAAUGGCGCAUACAGAGGGCGGCCAACUUGCGAAAGUGAGCGAAUCCCAAAAAGUGCGUCGUAGUCCGGAUUGGAGUCUGCAACUCGACUCCAUGAAGUCGGAAUCGCUAGUAAUCGUGGAUCAGAAUGCCACGGUGAAUACGUUCCCGGGCCUUGUACACACCGCCCGUCACACCAUGGGAGUGGGCUGCAAAAGAAGUAGGUAGUUUAACCUUCGGGGGGA
Molecule: ribosomal RNA, 1411 nt
Filed under: Vibrio sp.
Lineage: Bacteria; Pseudomonadati; Pseudomonadota; Gammaproteobacteria; Vibrionales; Vibrionaceae
Description: bacterial SSU rRNA
Source: RNAcentral